GACGAACGCUGGCGGCGUGCUUAACACAUGCAAGUCGAACGAAUGGUAGAGGGCUUGCUCUCUAUCGUUAGUGGCGGACGGGUGAGUAACACGUGGGCAACCUACCUUGUAGAUUGGGAUAACUCCGGGAAACCGGGGCUAAUACCGAAUAAUCCAUUUUGCUUCAUGGCGAGAUGUUGAAAGACGGUUUCGGCUGUCACUAUAAGAUGGGCCCGCGGCGCAUUAGCUAGUUGGUAGGGUAAUGGCCUACCAAGGCGACGAUGCGUAGCCGACCUGAGAGGGUGAUCGGCCACACUGGGACUGAGACACGGCCCAGACUCCUACGGGAGGCAGCAGUAGGGAAUCUUCCACAAUGGACGAAAGUCUGAUGGAGCAACGCCGCGUGAGUGAAGAAGGUUUUCGGAUCGUAAAACUCUGUUGUAAGGGAAGAACACGUACGAGAGUAACUGCUCGUACCUUGACGGUACCUUAUUAGAAAGCCACGGCUAACUACGUG
Molecule: ribosomal RNA, 496 nt
Filed under: uncultured bacterium
Lineage: Bacteria
Description: bacterial SSU rRNA
Rfam family: Bacterial small subunit ribosomal RNA
Source: RNAcentral